Non-coding RNA from Enterobius vermicularis (human pinworm), 74 nucleotides. NCBI's taxonomy places the organism in Eukaryota, Metazoa, Nematoda, Chromadorea, Rhabditida, Oxyuridae. The record is from Rfam.
GCUUCCGUGACGCAAUCGGUUAGCGCGUUCAGCUGUUAACCUAAAGGUUGGUGGUUCAAGCCCACUCGGGGGCG